AGCGAACGCUGGCGGCAGGCUUAACACAUGCAAGUCGAGCGGGCAUCUUCGGAUGUCAGCGGCAGACGGGUGAGUAACACGGGGGAACGUACCCUUCGGUUCGGAACAACUCUGGGAAACUGGAGCUAAUACCGGAUACGCCCUUAUGGGGAAAGGUUUACUGCCGCAGGGUCGGCUCGCGUCUGAUUAGCUGGCUGGCGGGGUAAGGGCCUACCAAGGCGCCGAUCCGUAGCUGGGCUGAGAGGCUGAUCAGCCACACUGGGGCUGAGACGCGGCCGAGACUCCUACGGGAUGCAGCAGCGGGUAACAGUGGACAAUGGGCGCAAUCAUGAUCCAGCCAUGCCGCGUGAGUGAUGAAGGCCUUAGGGUUGUAAAGCUCUUUUGUCCGGGACGAUAAUGACGGUACCGGAAGAAUAAGCCCCGGCUAACUUCGUG
This 435-nucleotide ribosomal RNA is filed under the name uncultured bacterium. Its description in RNAcentral is "partial 16S ribosomal RNA". It matches the Rfam family "Bacterial small subunit ribosomal RNA", at positions 29 to 507 of the family's 1533-position model. The record is from RNAcentral.